GACGGAAGGUGCAAGCGUUGCUCGGAAUCACUGGGCGUAAAGGGUGCGUAGGCGGCCGUGCAAGUCUGGCGUGAAAGCCCCGGGCUCAGCCCGGGAAGUGCGCUCGAAACUGCGCGGCUCGAGUGCCGGAGGGGAGAGUGGAAUUCCUGGUGUAGCGGUGAAAUGCGUAGAUAUCAGGAGGAAUACCGGUGGCGAAAGCGACGGACUGGACCUCUUCUGACGCUGAGGCGCGAAAGCUAGGGGAGCAAACGGG
RNAcentral lists this ribosomal RNA (253 nucleotides) under uncultured bacterium. RNAcentral describes it as "partial 16S ribosomal RNA". It matches the Rfam family "Bacterial small subunit ribosomal RNA", at positions 524 to 776 of the family's 1533-position model. The record is from RNAcentral.